GACGAACGCUGGCGGCGUGCCUAAUACAUGCAAGUCGAGCGAAGUUUUUCUGGUGCUUGCACUAGAAAAACUUAGCGGCGAACGGGUGAGUACACAAAGAACCUGCCUCACGGACAACUAUUGGAAACGAUAGCUAAUACCGGAUAACAGUAUUUCUCGCAUGGGAGAUAUUUAAAAGUUGGUUAUGCUAACACUAUGAGAUGGCUUUGCGGUGCAUUAGCUAGUUGGUGGGGUAAAGGCCUACCAAGGCGACGAUGCAUAGCCGACCUGAGAGGGUGAUCGGCCACACUGGGACUGAGACACGGCCCAGACUCCUACGGGAGGCAGCAGUAGGGAAUCUUCCGCAAUGGGCGAAAGCCUGACGGAGCAACGCCGCGUGAGUGAAGAAGGAUUUCGGUUCGUAAAGCUCUGUUGUUAGGGAAGAAUGGAUAUGUAGUAA
This 439-nucleotide ribosomal RNA is filed under the name Gemella morbillorum. RNAcentral describes it as "bacterial SSU rRNA". It matches the Rfam family "Bacterial small subunit ribosomal RNA", at positions 28 to 463 of the family's 1533-position model. The record is from RNAcentral. Lineage: Bacteria; Bacillati; Bacillota; Bacilli; Caryophanales; Gemellaceae.